UGUACUGUUUGACCCAGAAGUAGAAAAUCCUUUUGUGUUGUUCAAGUUGAUAGAAUUGGGGUUUCCACGUGCCACAUUGGGAAUAUUAUUGGUAACUAAAAAUGUACAGAUUUACUAAAAGAAGGACCUAGCCCUGCCUUCUUCAGGUACUGAAAUUCUCAUCCUACCAUCACUUUCGUAAAUUUUGAGUGGAUUCUGGAGUAGAUUUUUGGAGUUAUAAAAAAUGGGCAAACGUCGCCACAAUUUCACAAACCAAAUUUCGGCAUAGGAUUCGGGACUUCAUCGGAGCACAGGUGUAACCUAGCCAGGUAUUUGAGUUUAUGGUUAACAUAUCAGUCAAUGGUUGAAUUGUGAUUUCGGCUCAAUUUGUGCAAGGUAUCAUAUGUGUGUUUUUUCUUCGAUUCUAUCCGUGCAUCUAUUUCUGUGACUCGCUAGGAUUAUUUGAUUCAGUUAUUGUUUGGAUUUACGGUGACCAUUUUGGAUGGUCGAGGGUGUGUUCUGUUUCGAGAAAUUCUUGUUUAUCGUAUUACUGCUUGGUUAUGUGAUUGUAUUGUGUAAUUUUGUAUGAGUUUUAUGUUGUCUCCGACAUACUACCUAAAGGAGAAGUGAUUUUGUUUUCCUCUCCAUGCGUUGGACAGUAGGUAGCAGGGACUAGGGAAACGACCAUGGGCCAACAACUCUGCAACCUUCGGUAGUGACAGAGAGUCGUUCUCAAUUGGAUUGAAUUUGUACUUCUGUUUUUUAUAUGCUAAUAAUACGUUCCCCUAAAAUACUCCUUUUAAGAGAUGUCUGAUUUUCCUAUUUUGGUAGUGGUGACCGACACCUUCAGGCAGAAGUUUCGAAAAGGUGACCGCACUUGAAAGAUGUGGACGCCAAGAGAAGAGGCUGAUAAGGACACAAAGUUUAUGAGGAAAAAGUCAUGGCCACUUUGGGACACGUGGUAGUUGAUUUUCGGGAAAGAUAGAGCCUCCGGCGGUGCUCCCUAGGAGGUAGACGACAUGACCACUCGUCUGCAUGCUCAACUCGACGGGGGCAGUCAAUGCAACGAGAAUGACUACCGCCCAUCGUUUGACAAUUUCCACACUGAUCCAUUGGCAGAAGCAGCUGAUAACACAGAACUGAAUGACAUUAGCUUCGGAAAUGGUGACAAAGAACCCUCGAUCAACAAAACUAGCCCACGCAACUGCAUUAAGGCUUGGAGUGAUGCAGCCUUUAUGGAAUUCCUCAUCAAUCUUCAUGUAAAAAACAACACGAGUUUGGAGAUGAUCUCUGCCAGAAUUGGUUACGAGUUUGAUUUGGCAGGAAGUUUUUGACAAGGUUGGGACAGUAGACGACCUAACUCUUCACCAAUGCUACGAGCUUUGCAACAUCCUAUGGGAUAAACCUUAGUGUCUUGAGGUCUUUACUCAGAUGCCGGCUACAACUAGGCUUGGAUAUGUUCUCUUCCUUAUUCAGGAGAAACAUAAGGAAGGUUGACGCUCCAUUGUUGUUGGGCUAUAAGUUGGUAUGUGUUGUUUGAAUUUAUAGGAACGGUUUAUUAUGAGUUAAAUAUUAAGCCGCCUUUUGUUGUAAGUAGUAAUGCCAUCUUUGGCGUGGGUGUACAAUCACUACCCCAGCUGACUUGUUUUGUGGGUUUGGCCGUUCUUCAGACUUUAUGAACGUCAUAUAUAAUCAAUUUUGCUAUGUUGGACGUGUUAGUA
Molecule: long non-coding RNA, 1700 nt
Organism: Salvia splendens (bonfire salvia)
Lineage: Eukaryota; Viridiplantae; Streptophyta; Magnoliopsida; Lamiales; Lamiaceae
Exons: 2
Source: RefSeq, a predicted model, not a curated record